Molecule: ribosomal RNA, 490 nt
Filed under: uncultured bacterium
Lineage: Bacteria
Description: partial 16S ribosomal RNA
Rfam family: Bacterial small subunit ribosomal RNA
Source: RNAcentral
GUGAACGCUGGCGGUAGGCCUAACACAUGCACGUCGAACGGCAGCACAGUAAGAGCUUGCUCUUACGGGUGGCGAGUGGCGGACGGGUGAGGAAUACAUCGGAAUCUACUUUUUCGUGGGGGAUAACGUAGGGAAACUUACGCUAAUACCGCAUACGACCUACGGGUGAAAGCGGGGGAUCUUCGGACCUUGCGCGAUUGAAUGAGCCGAUGUCGGAUUAGCUAGUUGGCGGGGUAAAGGCCCACCAAGGCGACGAUCCGUAGCUGGUCUGAGAGGAUGAUCAGCCACACUGGAACUGAGACACGGUCCAGACUCCUACGGGAGGCAGCAGUGGGGAAUAUUGGACAAUGGGCGCAAGCCUGAUCCAGCCAUACCGCGUGGGUGAAGAAGGCCUUCGGGUUGUAAAGCCCUUUUGUUGGGAAAGAAAGGCAGCAGGUUAAUACCCCGCUGUUCUGACGGUACCCAAAGAAUAAGCACCGGCUAACUUCGU